UUUAUGGAGAGUUUGAUCCUGGCUCAGGAUGAACGCUGGCGGCGUGCCUAAUACAUGCAAGUCGAGCGAACGGACGAGAAGCUUGCUUUUCUGAUGUUAGCGGCGGACGGGUGAGUAACACGUGGAUAACCUACCUAUAAGACUGGGAUAACUUCGGGAAACCGGAGCUAAUACCGGAUAAUAUUUUGAACCGCAUGGUUCAAAAGUGAAAGACGGUCUUGCUGUCACUUAUAGAUGGAUCCGCGCUGCAUUAGCUAGUUGGUAAGGUAACGGCUUACCAAGGCAACGAUGCAUAGCCGACCUGAGAGGGUGAUCGGCCACACUGGAACUGAGACACGGUCCAGACUCCUACGGGAGGCAGCAGUAGGGAAUCUUCCGCAAUGGGCGAAAGCCUGACGGAGCAACGCCGCGUGAGUGAUGAAGGUCUUCGGAUCGUAAAACUCUGUUAUUAGGGGAGAACAUAUGUGUAAGUAACUGUGCACAUCUUGACGGUACCUAAUCAGAAAGCCACGGCUAACUACGUGCCAGCAGCCGCGGUAAUACGUAGGUGGCAAGCGUUAUCCGGAAUUAUUGGGCGUAAAGCGCGCGUAGGCGGUUUUUUAAGUCUGAUGUGAAAGCCCACGGCUCAACCGUGGAGGGUCAUUGGAAACUGGAAAACUUGAGUGCAGAAGAGGAAAGUGGAAUUCCAUGUGUAGCGGUGAAAUGCGCAGAGAUAUGGAGGAACACCAGUGGCGAAGGCGACUUUCUGGUCUGUAACUGACGCUGAUGUGCGAAAGCGUGGGGAUCAAACAGGAUUAGAUACCCUGGUAGUCCACGCCGUAAACGAUGAGUGCUAAGUGUUAGGGGGUUUCCGCCCCUUAGUGCUGCAGCUAACGCAUUAAGCACUCCGCCUGGGGAGUACGACCGCAAGGUUGAAACUCAAAGGAAUUGACGGGGACCCGCACAAGCGGUGGAGCAUGUGGUUUAAUUCGAAGCAACGCGAAGAACCUUACCAAAUCUUGACAUCCUUUGACAACUCUAGAGAUAGAGCCUUCCCCUUCGGGGGACAAAGUGACAGGUGGUGCAUGGUUGUCGUCAGCUCGUGUCGUGAGAUGUUGGGUUAAGUCCCGCAACGAGCGCAACCCUUAAGCUUAGUUGCCAUCAUUAAGUUGGGCACUCUAAGUUGACUGCCGGUGACAAACCGGAGGAAGGUGGGGAUGACGUCAAAUCAUCAUGCCCCUUAUGAUUUGGGCUACACACGUGCUACAAUGGACAAUACAAAGGGCAGCGAAACCGCGAGGUCAAGCAAAUCCCAUAAAGUUGUUCUCAGUUCGGAUUGUAGUCUGCAACUCGACUACAUGAAGCUGGAAUCGCUAGUAAUCGUAGAUCAGCAUGCUACGGUGAAUACGUUCCCGGGUCUUGUACACACCGCCCGUCACACCACGAGAGUUUGUAACACCCGAAGCCGGUGGAGUAACCUUUUAGGAGCUAGCCGUCGAAGGUGGGACAAAUGAUUGGGGUGAAGUCGUAACAAGGUAGCCGUAUCGGAAGGUGCGGCUGGAUCACCUCCUUUCU
Molecule: ribosomal RNA, 1554 nt
Filed under: Staphylococcus aureus
Lineage: Bacteria; Bacillati; Bacillota; Bacilli; Caryophanales; Staphylococcaceae
Description: 16S ribosomal RNA
Rfam family: Bacterial small subunit ribosomal RNA
Source: RNAcentral